This 253-nucleotide ribosomal RNA is filed under the name uncultured bacterium. RNAcentral's name for it is "partial 16S ribosomal RNA". It matches the Rfam family "Bacterial small subunit ribosomal RNA", at positions 524 to 776 of the family's 1533-position model. The record is from RNAcentral.
UACAGAGGUGGCAAGCGUUGUUCGGAAUUACUGGGCGUAAAGGGCGCGUAGGCGGUUCGUUAAGUCCUGUGUGAAAUCCCCCAGCUCAACUGGGGAACUGCACAGGAAACUAGCGGGCUUGAGUUCGGGAGAGGGAAGCGGAAUUCCGGGUGUAGCGGUGAAAUGCGUAGAUAUCCGGAGGAGCACCGGUGGCGAAGGCGGCUUCCUGGACCGACACUGACGCUGAGGCGCGAAAGCUAGGGGAGCAAACGGG